CCUACCAAAAAAACAAUAAAGCCUAGAAACCUUUCCUUCUGAUGAUCUGUUGCACGAAUUCUGCAAAUAAGUUCCAAGAAGUUUUAACCAGGAAAGCCCAAAAGCCAUCGAUCUCGAUUCACUACUUCCAUCGCCGAUUUAGGUCUAUCCAGAGCCCAUUUUUGAGCCUUAACAAUCGUAGUUCUUGAAUCUCCUUCCAUCUCGGUAUGUUGUAAACCCAUUUUCAUCGCAAAUUCUAAAGCUUGGACGCAGGCUAAUGCUUCAGCAGAAAAAGCAGUUGCUACAUAUGUAUUUCUCCUCACCCCCUUCCCAAAACAAGGCCAGCUUUAUUUUUUAUUACAAAACCUAACCAUGACUGGCGGAGAUUUGGCUUGAACGCUGCAUCAAAGUUCACCUUAACAUUUGGACUUUUUAUGGAGGCUUCCACUGGGAUUUCAUGGUCUCAUUUUGUUAAGGUAAUUUCAUCUUAAUCUCAUCAAGUUCUCUUAUAAGGCUCUCAACUUUUGUGCUAAUAUCCUGGGUUGUCUGUCUUUUGCCUUCCAUCACCUAUUUAUUACGAGAUUGCCAAAGCGCCCAAACAAUAAUCGCUAUUCUGCGGCAGCUCCACAUAUUGUAAUUGCAUACACCGAAGUUUCUGGAACAGCUCCAUAUCUUGGGCAGAGUGAGGAGGAGGCAAUCCUUCUGUUGUAUAGAACAUAGGCAGUAGGAAUGUAAUCAUUUAGUAGUCGCCAAAUUGUAAUUUUGAUUUUAGAAGGCAUUUGUAGCUGCCAAAGUUUUCUGUAUAUGUCAUACCUCCCUUGUAAUGUAUUAUCUGUAAUCUGUCGACUGAGUAGAAGCCGAUAGCCGCUAGGGACAGAAUAUUCUCCCGUACUUUCCAUCGUCCAAAUGAUCUUAUCGUCCACAACAUUUCGAGA
This is a long non-coding RNA of Gossypium raimondii (Peruvian cotton), 914 nucleotides long. RefSeq lists it as uncharacterized. Lineage: Eukaryota; Viridiplantae; Streptophyta; Magnoliopsida; Malvales; Malvaceae. The record is from RefSeq and is a predicted model, not a curated record. The transcript has 3 exons.